RNAcentral lists this ribosomal RNA (511 nucleotides) under uncultured Enterobacterales bacterium. RNAcentral describes it as "bacterial SSU rRNA". It matches the Rfam family "Bacterial small subunit ribosomal RNA", at positions 29 to 528 of the family's 1533-position model. The record is from RNAcentral. Lineage: Bacteria; Pseudomonadati; Pseudomonadota; Gammaproteobacteria; Enterobacterales.
AUUGAACGCUGGCGGCAGGCCUAACACAUGCAAGUCGAACGGUAGCACAGAGGAGCUUGCUCCUUGGGUGACGAGUGGCGGACGGGUGAGUAAUGUCUGGGAAACUGCCCGAUGGAGGGGGAUAACUACUGGAAACGGUAGCUAAUACCGCAUAACGUCGCAAGACCAAAGAGGGGGACCUUCGGGCCUCUUGCCAUCGGAUGUGCCCAGAUGGGAUUAGCUAGUAGGUGGGGUAACGGCUCACCUAGGCGACGAUCCCUAGCUGGUCUGAGAGGAUGACCAGCCACACUGGAACUGAGACACGGUCCAGACUCCUACGGGAGGCAGCAGUGGGGAAUAUUGCACAAUGGGCGCAAGCCUGAUGCAGCCAUGCCGCGUGUAUGAAGAAGGCCUUCGGGUUGUAAAGUACUUUCAGCGAGGAGGAAGGCGUUGUGGCUAAUAACCGCAACGAUUGACGUUACUCGCAGAAGAAGCACCGGCUAACUCCGUGCCAGCCGCCGCGGUAAAAGGG